RNAcentral lists this ribosomal RNA (454 nucleotides) under uncultured bacterium. Its description in RNAcentral is "partial 16S ribosomal RNA". It matches the Rfam family "Bacterial small subunit ribosomal RNA", at positions 28 to 507 of the family's 1533-position model. The record is from RNAcentral.
GAUGAACGCUGACAGAAUGCUUAACACAUGCAAGUCAACUUGAACUUCGGUUUGGGUGGCGGACGGGUGAGUAACGCGUAAAGAACUUGCCUCACAGAUAGGGACAACAUUUGGAAACGAAUGCUAAUACCUGAUAUUAUGAUUUUAGGGCAUCCUAGGAUUAUGAAAGCUAUAUGCGCUGUGAGAGAGCUUUGCGUCCCAUUAGCUAGUUGGAGAGGUAACGGCUCACCAAGGCGAUGAUGGGUAGCCGGCCUGAGAGGGUGAUCGGCCACAAGGGGACUGAGACACGGCCCUUACUCCUACGGGAGGCAGCAGUGGGGAAUAUUGGACAAUGGACCAAGAGUCUGAUCCAGCAAUUCUGUGUGCACGAUGAAGUUUUUCGGAAUGUAAAGUGCUUUCAGUUGGGAAGAAAAAAAUGACGGUACCAGCAGAAGAAGUGACGGCUAAAUACGUG